GUCUCCUCGCAUCCUUAUCAUUCUCGUGUCCAGGCUGAGCAUGGAUCGAGAUCUGGACGGAGAACUGAUAAGGGCACGUGGAAGA
RNAcentral lists this microRNA precursor (85 nucleotides) under Stegodyphus mimosarum. RNAcentral's name for it is "microRNA mir-184". It matches the Rfam family "mir-184 microRNA precursor family". The record is from Rfam by way of RNAcentral. Lineage: Eukaryota; Metazoa; Arthropoda; Arachnida; Araneae; Eresidae.